GGGGAAUAUUGGACAAUGGGCGCAAGCCUGAUCCAGCCAUGCCGCGUGGGUGAAGAAGACCUUCGGGUUGUAAAGCCCUUUUGUUGGGAAAGAAAAGCAGCCGGCCAAUACCCGGUUGUUCUGACGGUACCCAAAGAAUAAGCACCGGCUAACUUCGUGCCAGCAGCCGCGGUAAUACGAAGGGUGCAAGCGUUACUCGGAAUUACUGGGCGUAAAGCGUGCGUAGGUGGUUUCGUAAGACAGACGUGAAAUCCCCGGGCUCAACCUGGGAACUGCGUUUGUGACUGCGAGGCUAGAGUACGGCAGAGGGGGGUAGAAUUCCCGGUGUAGCAGUGAAAUGCGUAGAGAUCGGGAGGAACAUCAGUGGCGAAGGCGACUGCCUGGGCCAACACUGACACUGAGGCACGAAAGCGUGGGGAGCAAACA
This 426-nucleotide ribosomal RNA is filed under the name uncultured Lysobacteraceae bacterium. RNAcentral describes it as "bacterial SSU rRNA". It matches the Rfam family "Bacterial small subunit ribosomal RNA", at positions 356 to 774 of the family's 1533-position model. Lineage: Bacteria; Pseudomonadati; Pseudomonadota; Gammaproteobacteria; Lysobacterales; Lysobacteraceae. The record is from RNAcentral.